Molecule: ribosomal RNA, 1333 nt
Filed under: uncultured bacterium
Lineage: Bacteria
Description: bacterial SSU rRNA
Rfam family: Bacterial small subunit ribosomal RNA
Source: RNAcentral
GACGAACGCUGGCGGCGCGCCUAACACAUGCAAAUCGAACGAGCAAUGGAGAGCUUGCUUUCCAGAGCGAGUGGCGAACGGGUGAGUAACGCGUGAGGAACCUGCCUCAAAGAGGGGGACAACAGUUGGAAACGACUGCUAAUACCGCAUAAGCCCACGGGUCGGCAUCGACCAGAGGGAAAAGGAGCAAUCCGCUUUGAGAUGGCCUCGCGUCCGAUUAGCUAGUUGGUGAGGUAAUGGCCCACCAAGGCAACGAUCGGUAGCCGGACUGAGAGGUUGAACGGCCACAUUGGGACUGAGACACGGCCCAGACUCCUACGGGAGGCAGCAGUGGGGAAUAUUGCACAAUGGGGGAAACCCUGAUGCAGCGACGCCGCGUGGAGGAAGAAGGUCUUCGGAUUGUAAACUCCUGUUGUUGGGGAAGAUAAUGACGGUACCCAACAAGGAAGUGACGGCUAACUACGUGCCAGCAGCCGCGGUAAAACGUAGGUCACAAGCGUUGUCCGGAAUUACUGGGUGUAAAGGGAGCGCAGGCGGGAAGACAAGUUGGAAGUGAAAUCUAUGGGCUCAACCCAUAAACUGCUUUCAAAACUGUUUUUCUUGAGUAGUGCAGAGGUAGGCGGAAUUCCCGGUGUAGCGGUGGAAUGCGUAGAUAUCGGGAGGAACACCAGUGGCGAAGGCGGCCUACUGGGCACCAACUGACGCUGAGGUUCGAAAGUGUGGGUAGCAAACAGGAUUAGAUACCCUGGUAGUCCACACCGUAAACGAUGAUUACUAGGUGUUGGAGGAUUGACCCCUUCAGUGCCGCAGUUAACACAAUAAGUAAUCCACCUGGGGAGUACGACCGCAAGGUUGAAACUCAAAGGAAUUGACGGGGGCCCGCACAAGCAGUGGAGUAUGUGGUUUAAUUCGACGCAACGCGAAGAACCUUACCAAGUCUUGACAUCCCUUGACAGACAUAGAAAUAUGUUUUCUCUUCGGAGCAAGGAGACAGGUGGUGCAUGGUUGUCGUCAGCUCGUGUCGUGAGAUGUUGGGUUAAGUCCCGCAACGAGCGCAACCCUUAUGGUCAGUUACUACGCAAGAGGACUCUGGCCAGACUGCCGUUGACAAAACGGAGGAAGGUGGGGAUGACGUCAAAUCAUCAUGCCCUUUAUGACUUGGGCUACACACGUACUACAAUGGCGUUAAACAAAGAGAAGCAAGACCGCGAGGUGGAGCAAAACUCAGAAACAACGUCCCAGUUCGGACUGCAGGCUGCAACUCGCCUGCACGAAGUCGGAAUUGCUAGUAAUCGUGGAUCAGCAUGCCACGGUGAAUACGUUCCCGGGCCUU